This 73-nucleotide transfer RNA is filed under the name Actinomycetota bacterium. RNAcentral's name for it is "tRNA-Ala". It matches the Rfam family "tRNA". Rfam says of the family: Transfer RNA (tRNA) molecules are approximately 80 nucleotides in length. Their secondary structure includes four short double-helical elements and three loops (D, anti-codon, and T loops). The record is from RNAcentral. Lineage: Bacteria; Bacillati; Actinomycetota.
GGGCCCGUAGCUCAAUAGGUAGAGCGCUUCCAUGGCAUGGAAGAGGUCGUCGGUUCGAUUCCGAUCGGGUCCA